CGGACCUGCUCAAUGUUAAAUAAAUAGCUGCAGUAUUUUGACUGUACUAAGGUAGCAUAAUCAUUAGGUUUUUAAUUAAAAUCNNNAAUGAAGGGUUUGACAAGAAAGAAACUUUUAUAGAGUUAAAAAUUGAAUUUUAUUUUUAAGUGAGAAAUCUUAAUUAUUUUUAGGGGACGAUAAGACCCUAUAGAUUUUUAUUAAGAUUUAUUUUUAAAGGUAAGUCUGUAUAACUUUAAGUUUUAAUUUAUCUGGGGCGGAUAAANUAUUUCAAAUUGAAUUUUAAGUUUAUGAACUAAAAAUUUUAAUAAUUAGGAAAACGUUACCUUAGGGAUAACAUGUAUAAUUUUCUUUGAGAGUACAAAUUGACAAGAAAGAUUUUAACCUCGAUGUUGAAUUAAGAAUAUUUUUAAAGUAUAAAUUAAAAUUAUUAAG
RNAcentral lists this ribosomal RNA (432 nucleotides) under Campodea tillyardi. Its description in RNAcentral is "partial 16S ribosomal RNA". The record is from RNAcentral. Lineage: Eukaryota; Metazoa; Arthropoda; Diplura; Rhabdura; Campodeidae.